GUUGGCUGAGCUCUUCCCCACCCACAAAGGAGGCUGCAGAAGGCGCCAGGGCUGCUGGAGCUGGAGCCAGGGGAAGUCGGCUGCUGGUUUCCAUGGUGAUGGCGCUGGACUGGUGGGCUGAACCGGCUGACAGGGUCGGGGACAGAAGGAAGAGCAGGUUUCUCACGGCAUGUCAGCCCAGGGCUCCCACAUGUGGCCUCCCACCCUCAUCUUCACACAUUCUCACACCUUCCGGAGUACAGAGGCGAGUGGGGUGCAGAUGGUCCUCCCUACAUCGGGUGAGACUGAUAGAGACAGAACGGGGGAGGGUAUGACAGAGAUCCAGCCACAGAGAAGGGCAGAACUAGAAAAGAUGGGACUUGAGAUGAAACAAAGAGAGAGACAGAAACCAAGAGAAAGAAACCGGGAAGACAAGCAAAGAGACAGGUAGAAAUAGACGGAGAAUUCCUUCUGCUUCCUCCUGGCAGAUUGCACUUGGGGGGCAACCUGGCUGUCCCAGGCCACCAGGGAAGCCCACAUGGCCUGUUGGGUUGGCUUUGUCCCGAAUUGCCUGGAAGUUCAUCUUCUGUCUAGCCUUAGAUCUUGUUGCUAAAUAAUUUGGGGGACAAGGACGUGAGAAUCCCCUCAGCCAGGAGUCAGUCUAUAUGCAGUGGCAGGGGUCUAGACAGAGUCCCCAGAGCCAGGGGUGUUGGGAGAAGCCCCGAGAGGCAGCCCCUCUCCACUCUGAACCCGGGACUCAUUAGGCAAGCCAGUUUCAGCCAAGGUCGGGGGCCCUCGUGUGGCACCCCCACAGAAUAGCAGCGGUGAUACUGAACCCUAGAGCCCCUGACUGUGGGCUCCACCCAGGCAAGAGCCAAUGGAACUGGAGGUAGGGGGUGCAUGGGGAGGAGUGGACAUCUUCACUUCCCUAAAGCAGUGUGUAGGUCAACACGCACGCCACUGCAUGAUGUGUUGCUGUUUAGGUCAGAGUAUAUAUGCAUGCCAUUAUGCGCAUGCGUGUGUAUAGUAUGCAUCUAUAGAAUAGACAUUAUCUAUUUCUGUAUAUGUGAAGGGGCCAUUGUGUGUAUAUAUGUGUGUGCUAUUAUGUGUCUAUGAG
RNAcentral lists this long non-coding RNA (1096 nucleotides) under Homo sapiens (human). Its description in RNAcentral is "HSALNT0243111". Lineage: Eukaryota; Metazoa; Chordata; Mammalia; Primates; Hominidae. The record is from RNAcentral.